Bos taurus (domestic cattle) is the source of this 301-nucleotide long non-coding RNA. The record is from Ensembl. Lineage: Eukaryota; Metazoa; Chordata; Mammalia; Artiodactyla; Bovidae.
UGGACAACGUAUCCAAGGGGAGUAACUUGAGCUUCCAGUGAAAUUUGGAGCAUUGUUGCCAUCGCUCUGAAUAUUCACAUUUCACUGAAAGAAGUCACCAGCAUAGAUGACACCAGGAUAUUGAAGAGCUGAUUCAUUGGGAAAGACCCUGAUGCUGGGAAGAUUGAGGGCAGGAGGAGAAGGGGGUGACAGAGGAUGAGAUUAUUGGAUGGCAUCACUGACUCAAUGGACCCAGUAACUCGUCUUGCCUGUUCACUCAAUGGCAGCCCUGUAUGCCAGCUGCGGUACUGAACUACUGAAC